This is a long non-coding RNA of Beta vulgaris subsp. vulgaris (sugar beet), 1350 nucleotides long. RefSeq lists it as uncharacterized. The record is from RefSeq and is a predicted model, not a curated record. Lineage: Eukaryota; Viridiplantae; Streptophyta; Magnoliopsida; Caryophyllales; Amaranthaceae. The transcript is spliced from 4 exons.
UUGCUACUUUACAAAUGCUUGGGUUGUUUUAAUAACCCGAGCAUUUGACAAGUUUUUGGAAAAUUAAAAAGAAAAAUUCACAAAUGCUCGGGUGUUAAAAACAACUCGAGCAUUUGACUAGUUUUAGACUUUGCGUUCCAACUUCCAAGUAAUUAAUUCCUUCCCCAAAAAAAAAGUAUUAAAUAUUCCCCCUCUAAUCUCUGUUCUCUCUCUCUUUCCCUCUCCACUCACUCUCGAUCUACUUCUUUGCAUGUCCACGAAGAGCAUUGCUGCAUCCUGCCGCCGCUGCUGAAGAACCAAAUUUUCAAGCCUUCUCUCACGAAAAGUUCGUUGAUGUCGUUAGAUCUGAAGGUUCCAUGACGUGAUUCUAAUAAACUUCUAUGAUUUUUGGUCGUGAAGUUAUCAUUCUAAUUUAUGAAGUAUUAGGGGUUUUGAUGUUUGAUUUCGAAGAUGGUUGAUUUUUCGAUGGUUUACUGGAGUUUGUGGGGCUUUGACUGAAUUUUGAUUCUGAUGAUGAUAUCACUUUGAGCGAAUAUCAGUUUGCCAUGCUUGACUUUCUCUAUAGAUUUUAAAUUUUUAUAUAGACACAAACAAGAUAAUUUGAUGGCUCUCCUCUUAUAAAUCUAUUUCAUCGAGACCUAAAGUUGGAAAACACUUUACUGGAUGGAAGUCCUGUUCCUUGAUUGAAGAUAUGCGACUUCGGCUACUCAAAGAUGCUUCACUCAUGUUAUGGAAGAUUUAGAUCACUUGUUUCUCGUGUCUUUGUUUAAGCUGCUGCUCCACUAGUUCAUAUGACAGGAGUACCCCCUUAUGAUAUGAAGAAGAAGAGAGGUAGGCCCUAGGAAGUAUAGCCCUGGUGGUGCUGUGGCGGCUGCAUUGUCGCCAAUGCCGAUUUCGGCUUCAAUUCCUCUGAGUAGAGACUUUUCAGGCUGGAAACAACAUAGAGUAAGGCCUUUUCAGACAAUAAAGAAGCCAUAUUAAGUGGAGUUUAAGAGUCUAGGUAAUAGUUUUUACAUCUCUUUUAAAUAAUUACUUUUUUCUAUUUUCCUGUAAUUUGUUUUGGUUGAUGUUUAGUUAAAUGGAGCUUUUCCUAUUUCAUGUUCUAGUCAUUUUUAGUUAAAAUUUAUAUCAGAGUUGUUCCCCUUCCAUGGGUCAGGAAUAUAUCAGAGUUGUUAGGAAAGAGUGGGCAGAGUUUGUUAAGCAAGGGAGUAUAAAUAAGAAAAUGAGAGGUGGAGAGAGGUAGACAGAUAUUUGUAAAGAGUUUUGCCUACUGGGAGAAUAUUGGGUCUCUCGAAUAUUCAGUAAACUAUUUUCCUUUUAUCAAUCAAACACCAUCAAUCUUCUGGGUUA